This 1122-nucleotide ribosomal RNA is filed under the name Vibrio parahaemolyticus. RNAcentral describes it as "partial 23S ribosomal RNA". It matches the Rfam family "Bacterial large subunit ribosomal RNA", at positions 607 to 1733 of the family's 2925-position model. Lineage: Bacteria; Pseudomonadati; Pseudomonadota; Gammaproteobacteria; Vibrionales; Vibrionaceae. The record is from RNAcentral.
UUUGUAUAAUGGGUCAGCGACUUAUAUUCAGUGGCAAGGUUAACCAUCUAGGGGAGCCGUAGGGAAACCGAGUCUUAACUGGGCGUUCAGUCUCUGGAUAUAGACCCGAAACCAGGUGAUCUAGCCAUGGGCAGGUUGAAGGUUGAGUAACAUCAACUGGAGGACCGAACCGACUAAUGUUGAAAAAUUAGCGGAUGACUUGUGGCUAGGGGUGAAAGGCCAAUCAAACCUGGAGAUAGCUGGUUCUCCCCGAAAGCUAUUUAGGUAGCGCCUCGGACGAAUACUACUGGGGGUAGAGCACUGUUAAGGCUAGGGGGUCAUCCCGACUUACCAACCCUUUGCAAACUCCGAAUACCAGUAAGUACUAUCCGGGAGACACACGGCGGGUGCUAACGUCCGUCGUGGAGAGGGAAACAACCCAGACCGCCAGCUAAGGUCCCAAAUUACUACUAAGUGGGAAACGAUGUGGGAAGGCUCAGACAGCCAGGAUGUUGGCUUAGAAGCAGCCAUCAUUUAAAGAAAGCGUAAUAGCUCACUGGUCGAGUCGGCCUGCGCGGAAGAUGUAACGGGGCUAAGUAGUAAACCGAAGCUGCGGCAAUAUACUUUUGUAUAUUGGGUAGGGGAGCGUUCUGUAAGCGGUUGAAGGUGUGUGGUAACGCAUGCUGGACGUAUCAGAAGUGCGAAUGCUGACAUGAGUAACGAUAAAGGGGGUGAAAAACCUCCUCGCCGGAAGACCAAGGGUUCCUGUCCAACGUUAAUCGGGGCAGGGUAAGUCGACCCCUAAGGCGAGGCCGAAAGGCGUAGUCGAUGGGAAACGGGUUAAUAUUCCCGUACUUCUUACAAUUGCGAUGGGGGGACGGAGAAGGCUAGGUGGGCCUGGCGACGGUUGUCCAGGUUCAAGUGCGUAGGCUUAAGAGUUAGGUAAAUCCGGCUCUUUUUAAGGCUGAGACACGACGUCGAGCACCUACGGGUGUGAAGUCAUUGAUGCCAUGCUUCCAGGAAAAGCCUCUAAGCUUCAGAUUGUAAGGAAUCGUACCCCAAACCGACACAGGUGGUCGGGUAGAGAAUACCAAGGCGCUUGAGAGAACUCGGGUGAAGGAACUAGGCAAAAUGGUACCGUAA